Ctenopharyngodon idella (grass carp) is the source of this 427-nucleotide long non-coding RNA. RefSeq lists it as uncharacterized. NCBI's taxonomy places the organism in Eukaryota, Metazoa, Chordata, Actinopteri, Cypriniformes, Xenocyprididae. The transcript is spliced from 3 exons. The record is from RefSeq and is a predicted model, not a curated record.
UAUUGCUCGUGCUCGUGCACACGUUAAUGUGAUUCAAGGCCGCGAUAUACUCACGGCGAAGUUUUUUCAUGUCGACAGAUGAGGUCACUCUGACACCAUCAUUCUGUUGAUGUGUUUAAAUGACUGCCUUUUCCCUCUCUGCAUCUGGGUUUCUUGAAGCUUUGAUAGAAGGCCGUGAUUCAGCUGCUAACCCGAGCAUCGCUCACGAAUGGAAAGAGACUGCGGCUGAAAUCUCUCCUGCGGCUCUGAUUGAUGGAGGAGUUGAAUAGACGAGUUGGCAGCAAAGUCUUUUCAAGAUUGGAGUUUCAGUAUUUAUGAAUUCAGACCAAGACAAGCGCACAAGUGGUGCUCACUGCAGAGCCAAAUGAUGUCAUGUGACAAGAGGCGUGGCUAAUGUGAACGCCAAGUGAAGUGACUUCGAUUCGUC